AUGGCAAUAUUAAUAUACAAAAUUCAUAAAUAUCUACUAAAAUGUCCAAAACCCGGUGUCACAAGUGCACGAGCGAUCUAGUAGAAUAUACAAACUACUACAACUACUGUCCGAGAUGAAAUAGACAGAAAUAUAAAAUACAACAGGAAGGAGACUGCGGGUGCUGCAGAUCAGAGCAUGGAGGAGCAGCUCACCACUAAGUCUCCGGGUAAUGUGGAUGCACCCGGAUUGGAUACCAGAUGUACCUGCCUCAAUACCUGCAUUAUUUGUGCAGAAGCAUAACAUGAGUGCAUAAACAAUGUAUACCCAUUAAUAGUCCAACCUCGAAGAAGUAGUGACAAGUGUCAACAUCGACACUUGCCAAUGGUCAAUAAAUAAAGUUCAAGGAUAAUAAAUAGGCAUGAAAUACAACAGUAACAAUAGAAUAAGAAGCAAUAAAUAAGUGAUUCUUUAACAAAAUAUCAAUUUAAAAUAAUCAAAUACCACAUGCCAAUUUAAACAAACAAGAGCCAUCAAAUAAUCAUCAAUUUUCAAGUCAUGAUGGGAAUAUCAAGUACAAUCGGACUACUAGCAAUAUUAUGCACGAGUUAUGCCGAGGUCGNNNNNNNNNNNNNNNNNNNNNNNNNGUAUAUAUAUAUAUAUAUAUAUAUAUAUAUAUAUAUAUACAGAGAGAGAGGAAUAGAGAAACUCUUCAUACUACAUAUAUAUACACGUGAUCCACAGGAAUAUAGAAACUCUUCAGACUACGGGACAUACAUUUACAACACUAUGAUAGGCAUAUAAAGUGUAAUAAUCUGGCCUAUCAUUUUGAGUACUUUAACCCCGUUCCUCUAUUUAUUUCCUCCUCUACAUUAAAUUGUGGUUAUGUGACUUUCCGGGGUGGUUGAUCUGGUUUCGGGUGAGUUUCAGAAUGAAUCGGGACACUUAGUCCCAAAACGGGAGGCUUAAGUUGAAAGAGUUGAUCGGAGUUUGACUUUUAUGUAGAUGAUUCCGGAAUAGAAUUUUGAUGGUUCCAAUAGCUUCGUAUGGUAAUUUUCGACUUAGGAUUUUGUACGGAUAUUGAUUUGUAGGUCCGUAGGUUGGUUUGCAGCUUUUUCGCAAGGUUGAUAGGUUUCACCAAGGGUUGAAUUUGUUGAUAUCGCAAUCGGAUUGUGGUUCUAGGAGUUGGUAUAGGUCCGUUGUUCCAUUUGGGACUUCUAUGCAAAAUUUGAGCUCAUUCAGAGUUGGUUUGAUGUGAUUCAACAUUAGUUUUAGACAUUGAAUGUUCAUUAGUUCAUUAGGCUUGAAUUGGGCUGUGAUUUGUAGAUUGCGUCACGACCCAAACUAAUGGACCACGACGAGCACCUGGUACCUUACUCAACCGAGUACCAAUGUAACGUAUCUUUCUUUUUGCAUCAUUAUAUACACAUGACAUACGGGCCUAAUAGGCCAACAUGAUUUUUUAUAAACUCAAACCAUAGGCGGACCAGGCCGUACAAUCUUUUAUAUACACGACAUAUGUCUACAAGCCUCUAAGAGUACAUAAAUAUCAUAAAGGACGGGAUAAAGUCCCGCCAUCCCAAACAAUACACGUCUAAAUCAUACUAACCAAACGAGCAACUCCGAAGCAAAUAGAGUGCACCAACAUCUUCCGCUAAGCUGAUAGCCUACUUGGAGGGCUCUCGACCUGUCUAUCGGGACCUGCGGGCAUGAAAUGUUGUGUCCCCAGGCAAAAGGGAUGUCAGUAUGAAUAUUGUACCGAGUAUGUAAGGCACAUAAAUAAGCACAUAAGAGACAUGGAAGAAAUAUAGAGUACAUGACUCAAACUGUAAGUCUGGAUAACUUUGUAAAUCAUAAAUUACUUUUAGCAUCAUCCAUAUGCGUAUGAAUGUCAUGUCGUGCAUAGGUACAUGUUUCAUAACAUCAUCAGCCUCUUAGGGCAUUCCAUCAUAUCAUAUCGGCCACUGUGGGCAAAAUCAUCAUCGUAUACCAGCUGAUCAGGUGGUGGUGCAUAUAUAACGCCAUAACCUUUCCCGUAUCCCAUAUACAUAUACAUACAUACAUAUAUACGCAUAUAUAACGUCGUUUGAAUCAUAUUUCAGCCACUGUCGGCAACAUCAUCAACAUAUACCGGCUGAUCAGGUGGUGGUGCGUAUAUAACGCCGUAACCUUUUUUCCAUAUCCCAUAUACAUAUAUUUACAUAUAUACACGUAUAUAACGUCAUCUAGUCAUGGGUCAAUGCACAUGUAUAAAUGAGUGAAAUACAUGAAAUCUACAUAAUAAUCUCGAUAUUCCUUCCGGAUAAACUUUUCCAACCGCGUAUUAUUCUGAGACCCAUGAACAAAAGAUAAUAAUAAUUCUCAUGGGGAAUCACGAAUAUAAACACCCUUACUAUUUCUAUGAAUAGAGUAAUUUAUAGAAACUGUGUAUUUGCUCAUUUCUUCAGUACAAUUUGGACCAUUCCAAAAGAAAGAAGGGAGGGCUUUAACAUACCUGGAGUAGGGAAAAAUCCGUAUAAUAUUCUUGGCGAGGAUUGCACUGUACUCUUUUAGAAUCGCAAAAUUUGGACGGAACUAAGCUUCUGCUAUUGGCUUUACAGUGUAUGAACCAAGCAAGAAAAUGUUCUUGCUAUUGUUUGUUUUCACGUUUUUGGUUCAAUACAUAAUACAAAUAUAAAUUAUUGUUGCUUUUGAAAUUUCAAUUGAGAUUUUUUUUGGCUAAGAGUGUUGACAAGAAUGACUUCUGCCCGAUGUUUUUGGUCUUUAAAACCAAAUCAAUCAACUAAAGCUAAAGAUCCUAAAUGCAAGUAAAGGCAAAAUUGGAAAUUGUUGUUUGAAAUGGA
Molecule: long non-coding RNA, 2822 nt
Filed under: Nicotiana tabacum (common tobacco)
Lineage: Eukaryota; Viridiplantae; Streptophyta; Magnoliopsida; Solanales; Solanaceae
Description: long non-coding RNA (NTAB_LNC002694)
Source: RNAcentral